GAAACGCGAUAGUUAAUGUGAAUUGCAGAAUUCAGUGAAUCAUCGAGUCUUUGAACGCACAUUGCGCCCAUAGGUAUUCCUUUGGGCAUGUCUGUUUGAGCGUCAUUUCAAACCCUCAAGCACGGCUUGUGUGAUGGGCGACGCGUCCGCUCCGGUAGCGGACGGGCCCCAAAUGGAGUGUGCGGCGCGGUGCGCUUGGCUGCAGUGUAUGGGAACAUCUCACACUCGCGGUGCGUCACCACGCUCGUCUCUAGACAUCUUCUCUCGGUUUGACCUCGGAUCAGGUAGGGAUACCCGCUGAACUUAAGC
This 309-nucleotide unclassified non-coding RNA is filed under the name plant metagenome. RNAcentral's name for it is "partial contains 5.8S ribosomal RNA, internal transcribed spacer 2, and large subunit ribosomal RNA". The stretch from base 1 to 105 matches the Rfam family "5.8S ribosomal RNA", at positions 50 to 154 of the family's 154-position model. The record is from RNAcentral.